AAUUAACGCUGGCAGAGUGCAUAACACAUGCAAGUCGAGCGAGACCCGCAAGGGUCUAGCGGCAGACGAGUGAGUAACACGUAAAGAAUCUACCCUUGAAUGGCGAAUAACCAAUCGAAAGGCUGGCUAAUACGCCGUACUCUCCCUUGAAGGCAUCUUCGAGGGAGGAGAGAUCCGCAAGGAUCGUUCUUGGAGGACUUUGCGGCCCAUCAGCUAGUGGCGGUGUAAUAGACCACCAAGGCUACGACGGGUACCCGGCCUGAAAGGGCGGACGGGCACGAUGGCACUGAGACACGGGCCAUACUCCUACGGGAGGCAGCAGUGGGGAAUUUUGGACAAUGGGCGAAAGCCUGAUCCAGCAACUCUGCGUGAGGGACGAAGGUCUUCGGAUCGUAAACCUCUUUUACAUGGGAAGAAUGGCAGCAAUGCCUCGACGGUACCAUGUGAAU
Molecule: ribosomal RNA, 449 nt
Filed under: uncultured bacterium
Lineage: Bacteria
Description: bacterial SSU rRNA
Rfam family: Bacterial small subunit ribosomal RNA
Source: RNAcentral